CAAGUUGGCUAAUGUGAGUUCA
Molecule: microRNA, 22 nt
Filed under: Sarcophilus harrisii (Tasmanian devil)
Lineage: Eukaryota; Metazoa; Chordata; Mammalia; Dasyuromorphia; Dasyuridae
Also listed under: 1 other name
Description: Sha-Mir-12469_3p (mature (co-guide))
Source: RNAcentral